This 694-nucleotide long non-coding RNA is filed under the name Homo sapiens (human). RNAcentral describes it as "HSALNT0311166". Lineage: Eukaryota; Metazoa; Chordata; Mammalia; Primates; Hominidae. The record is from RNAcentral.
CAGAUGUAAAGAUAACCAAAUUUCAUCUGAUGACAUUUGCUUGGAAUUUAAUCAGUAUUGUUCAGCUGAGGGCUCAAGAUGUGUCUCUUAAAGCCCCAAAUUCCCACUCAACUUCUCAUAGCCAUUAUGACUGAUUUAGCUGAAUAACCUUGGCUACCAUGUGCUCAGGCUUGGGCUCACCUGUUAAAUGACUAGAGACUGCUUGGAGCAGAGGCAAGUCUGCCAGCCAAGGCUGUCUUAGACCAGACAACCCCCAGCCAACCUAUCAGCUGACUGCAGGUGCGUGAGUGAACACAGUCAAGACAUGAAGAACUGCCCAUCUGAGCCCUGCCUAAAUCAUUAACACCAACUCAUUACCUAAGCACUCAGGACACAGGUCCAGGAUCUAGCUCUGCUAUUUGGUUUGGAUAUUGGAAUUGCACUAUCACAUAGAAGUUAUGGAGCAAUUUCUUGCUGAAGACCACACUCACUCAAAGUCUGUUAGAUCGACAGUUGCAUUGCACUCAGAGUUCAGAAGGGUGAAUGUUUGAUUUUGGAAGAGAAUACUACUUGCUUCCCUUAUCUUGUACUUGAUUAAUUUGGCCUGGGAAAGAAUUUCUUCAUGGUCUGGUACGGUGUUUGAAUGUGACUUUUAAACAUGCCCAAUAAUAUGAUAUUGACUUCUUUCUGUGAUGAAUGGAGAAAAUAAAGUGUU